This 337-nucleotide unclassified non-coding RNA is filed under the name soil metagenome. RNAcentral's name for it is "partial contains 5.8S ribosomal RNA, internal transcribed spacer 2, and large subunit ribosomal RNA". The stretch from base 1 to 120 matches the Rfam family "5.8S ribosomal RNA", at positions 35 to 154 of the family's 154-position model. The record is from RNAcentral.
GAUGAAGAACGUAGCGAAAUGCGAUAAGUAGUGUGAAUUGCAGAGUUCAGUGAAUCAUCGAAUCUUUGAACGCACAUUGCGCCCCUUGGUAUUCCAUGGGGCAUGCCUGUUCGAGCGUCAUUUGUACCUUCAAGCUCUGCUUGGUGUUGGGUGUUUGUCUCGCCUCUGCGUGUAGACUCGCCUCAAAACAAUUGGCAGCCGGCGUAUUGAUUUCGGAGCGCAGUACAUCUCGCGCUUUGCACUCAUAACGACGACGUCCAAAAGUACAUUUUUACACUCUUGACCUCGGAUCAGGUAGGGAUACCCGCUGAACUUAAGCAUAUCAAUAAGCGGAGGA